UUGGCGUGCAGCGUGGACACCAGGUUGGCCCGCUCCUUGGGCGAGCGGGAGUUGAAGUGCUUCGGCAGGCGAAGCCGUUCCACCGGCUCCACCGGC
RNAcentral lists this transfer RNA (96 nucleotides) under Microtetraspora sp. NBRC 13810. RNAcentral's name for it is "tRNA-Pro". The record is from RNAcentral. Lineage: Bacteria; Bacillati; Actinomycetota; Actinomycetes; Streptosporangiales; Streptosporangiaceae.